GAUGAACGCUGGCGGCGUGCCUAAUACAUGCAAGUCGAGCGAACAGAUAAGGAGCUUGCUCCUUUGACGUUAGCGGCGGACGGGUGAGUAACACGUGGGUAACCUACCUAUAAGACUGGAAUAACUCCGGGAAACCGGGGCUAAUGCCGGAUAACAUGUUGAACCGCAUGGUUCUACAGUGAAAGGCGGCUUUGCUGUCACUUAUAGAUGGACCCGCGCCGUAUUAGCUAGUUGGUGAGGUAACGGCUCACCAAGGCAACGAUACGUAGCCGACCUGAGAGGGUGAUCGGCCACACUGGAACGGAGACACGGUCCAGACUCCUACGGGAGGCAGCAGUAGGGAAUCUUCCGCAAUGGGCGAAAGCCUGACGGAGCAACGCCGCGUGAGUGAUGAAGGUCUUCGGAUCGUAAAACUCUGUUAUUAGGGAAGAACAAAUGCGUAAGUAACUGUGCGCGUCUUGACGGUACCUAAUCAGAAAGCCACGGCUAACUACGUG
Molecule: ribosomal RNA, 497 nt
Filed under: uncultured bacterium
Lineage: Bacteria
Description: partial 16S ribosomal RNA
Rfam family: Bacterial small subunit ribosomal RNA
Source: RNAcentral